This 102-nucleotide non-coding RNA is filed under the name Pontibacillus marinus. RNAcentral describes it as "Guanine sequence". It matches the Rfam family "Purine riboswitch aptamer". From Rfam's summary of the family: Riboswitches are metabolite binding domains within certain messenger RNAs that serve as precision sensors for their corresponding targets. Allosteric rearrangement of mRNA structure is mediated by ligand binding, and this results in modulation of gene expression. Lineage: Bacteria; Bacillati; Bacillota; Bacilli; Caryophanales; Bacillaceae. RNAcentral also lists the same sequence under 1 other name. The record is from RNAcentral.
UUAAAAUGAUGCGGACGUACUCAUAUAAUCGCGAGGAUAUGGCUCGCAAGUUUCUACCGGAUUACCGUAAAUGAUCCGACUAUGGGUAUUGCAAGAUUUCAU